CCUGGUUGCUCAGAUGGUAAAGCGUCUGCCUACAAUGCAGGAGACCAGGGUUCAAUCCCUGGGUCAGGA
Molecule: transfer RNA, 69 nt
Filed under: Bos taurus (domestic cattle)
Lineage: Eukaryota; Metazoa; Chordata; Mammalia; Artiodactyla; Bovidae
Rfam family: tRNA
About the family: Transfer RNA (tRNA) molecules are approximately 80 nucleotides in length. Their secondary structure includes four short double-helical elements and three loops (D, anti-codon, and T loops). Further hydrogen bonds mediate the characteristic L-shaped molecular structure. tRNAs have two regions of fundamental functional importance: the anti-codon, which is responsible for specific mRNA codon recognition, and the 3' end, to which the tRNAs corresponding amino acid is attached (by aminoacyl-tRNA synthetases). tRNAs cope with the degeneracy of the genetic code in two manners: having more than one tRNA (with a specific anti-codon) for a particular amino acid; and 'wobble' base-pairing, i.e. permitting non-standard base-pairing at the 3rd anti-codon position.
Source: Rfam by way of RNAcentral